AGAUGCAGCUUGCAAGGGAAACAAGACAAGACACAGAAGAGGGAAUCAGAAACACUUCGUGCUCAGUACAUAAAUUCUAAGUAAGUGAGGGUAACAAUUGGAACUUGGAAUGUUGCUGGGAGAACUCCAAUAUUGCGGCAUUAAUGUUUUCUUUUCUCACCAUGUUUUACCUUGCUUGCUGUGUUCUCAGUUUGUUGGCGAAACUUAAUAAGGCGGAUAGAGCCCUAUGCUUCACCAGUGGAAUGGCUGCUCUGAGUGCUGUUUUUCAUCUUGUUCAAGCUGGUGAAAAAAUUGUUGCUGGAGAUGAUCUAUACGGUGGAACAGACAGGUUGCUGUCCUGAGUAAUUCCAAAGAAUGGCAUUGUGGUCAAGUUAGUCUAACUUACGGGUAAAUACAACUGAUCUUAAUGAGGUUGCAUCUGCUAUUGGACCCCGUACUAAGCUUGUGUGGCUUGAGAGCCCAACCAAUCCUCGACUACAAACUACUGAUAUUCAAAAAAUAUCUGAGAUGGCUCAUGCCCACGGUGCUCUGUUGUUGGUGGAUAAUAGUAUAAUAUCACCUGUGUUGUCUCGGCCAUUAGAACUUGGAGUAGAUAUUGUUAUGCACUCAGCUACCAAAUUUAUUUCUGGACAUAGUGAUAUUAUGGCUGGUGUGCUUGCUGUGAAAGAUGAAAGGACAAGGUUAUACAAUUUCAGCAGUAACACAUCGCUAUCAGCUUCAGAAGGGAAAUUACGAACCAAGCGAGAAACGGCUUGAUGUUUUGUCCACUGGAAGAUACUUGGUAAAUCUAUAUUUGGAAAAUUUGUUAGAACAAUCUUGAUUAGUGCAUAUUUUCAAGUUCUAUUUUAUUAGUUUCAAUAUGUAAUUCCUUGGCUGUGUUAUAAUCAAUAUUAACAAACAAAUUUGUC
This is a long non-coding RNA of Arachis stenosperma, 908 nucleotides long. RefSeq lists it as uncharacterized. The record is from RefSeq and is a predicted model, not a curated record. Lineage: Eukaryota; Viridiplantae; Streptophyta; Magnoliopsida; Fabales; Fabaceae. The transcript has 7 exons.